This 583-nucleotide ribosomal RNA is filed under the name Alternaria sp. P22. RNAcentral's name for it is "eukaryotic LSU rRNA". The stretch from base 224 to 377 matches the Rfam family "5.8S ribosomal RNA". The record is from RNAcentral. Lineage: Eukaryota; Fungi; Ascomycota; Dothideomycetes; Pleosporales; Pleosporaceae.
UAGAGGAAGUAAAAGUCGUAACAAGGUCUCCGUAGGUGAACCUGCGGAGGGAUCAUUACACAAAUAUGAAGGCGGGCUGGAACCUCUCGGGGUUACAGCCUUGCUGAAUUAUUCACCCUUGUCUUUUGCGUACUUCUUGUUUCCUUGGUGGGUUCGCCCACCACUAGGACAAACAUAAACCUUUUGUAAUUGCAAUCAGCGUCAGUAACAAAUUAAUAAUUACAACUUUCAACAACGGAUCUCUUGGUUCUGGCAUCGAUGAAGAACGCAGCGAAAUGCGAUAAGUAGUGUGAAUUGCAGAAUUCAGUGAAUCAUCGAAUCUUUGAACGCACAUUGCGCCCUUUGGUAUUCCAAAGGGCAUGCCUGUUCGAGCGUCAUUUGUACCCUCAAGCUUUGCUUGGUGUUGGGCGUCUUGUCUCUAGCUUUGCUGGAGACUCGCCUUAAAGUAAUUGGCAGCCGGCCUACUGGUUUCGGAGCGCAGCACAAGUCGCACUCUCUAUCAGCAAAGGUCUAGCAUCCAUUAAGCCUUUUUUUCAACUUUUGACCUCGGAUCAGGUAGGGAUACCCGCUGAACUUAAGCAUA